UGUCAAGAAAAAUAAAGGUAGCAUUACUAUGAGUGUUAACCGUUGGCAACUCAACAAAAGUAACUAUGAAGCAUCGAUAUUCUCUUCAAGAAUCGAUAUUCUCAACAAAAGUGACUAUGAUUUGCUUCACGACAUUGAAACUUUGAUAAGAAUAGCAAAAAAUAAACCUUGUAUUACUGAGAAAUUACUACAAAAGAAUUGAAGAACAAAUAAAUUUGAAUUAGAAGUACACAAUUAUAAAUAAAUAUGGUUACAUAGUGAUGUACAUAAUUCAGAAACCACAACAAAGGUAGAAGAAGCAAAAUGAGGAAACAAUGACAACACCUUCAACAACAUAAACUAUCUUGAAAACGACCGUGUCCAUGAUCGUCGUGCGUAGAUGAAGUCGUUUCCAGUGAAACCCAUGAGAGAAUUUCCAUGGUCGCAAUUGCUCCUUGCUCAACUUCUUGAACGACCAACUUGUCUUCAUCAUAUGAUAACUUGAACUUGGUCUCACUAUUUAUCUUGGUUGUAUCGUUUAAUUUUUUAUGUAACAAAUAUAGUUAAUAUGCACAUAUAGAAAGGAGUGAGAGACAUGUAUAUAUAUGCAGAAAAGGAAUAUAUAUAUUAUGUGCCUUGGACGCUUCAAUGGUAAGAGUAUUGGCUGGCUUUGGCUGUUUUUCUUGCUGGCCUAAGAU
This 677-nucleotide long non-coding RNA is filed under the name Medicago truncatula (barrel medic). Its description in RNAcentral is "long non-coding RNA (MTRU_LNC000495)". The record is from RNAcentral. Lineage: Eukaryota; Viridiplantae; Streptophyta; Magnoliopsida; Fabales; Fabaceae.